UUGGGAGUCACUGCUUUCAUGUAUACUCAAGGCUGCAGAUAUUAUUGUUCAGGAAUAGCACGUUUUAUUGGAAAGCUGCACGAUAACAAGGAAAAUGAGCAAAACUCUGACAGUGAAAACUACAUUGCUGAGAAGGUCACCAGCCCUUCACGUUCCUGAUGUCACCGGAAGCCUUCCUUACUCACUGCCUCUGCUACGCUCUGCUCACGUGUCUGUUGAGACGUGUGCUGCUUGUUAA
Molecule: long non-coding RNA, 238 nt
Filed under: Chloebia gouldiae (Gouldian finch)
Lineage: Eukaryota; Metazoa; Chordata; Aves; Passeriformes; Passeridae
Description: Erythrura gouldiae (Gouldian finch) lncRNA (ENSEGOG00005001383.1)
Source: RNAcentral